GAUGAACGCUGGCGGCGUGCCUAAUACAUGCCAGUCGAGCGAACAGACGAGGAGCUUGCUCCUCUGACGUUAGCGGCGGACGGGUGAGUAACACGUGGAUAACCUACCUAUAAGACUGGGAUAACUUCGGGAAACCGGAGCUAAUACCGGAUAAUAUAUUGAACCGCAUGGUUCAAUAGUGAAAGACGGUUUUGCUGUCACUUAUAGAUGGAUCCGCGCCGCAUUAGCUAGUUGGUAAGGUAACGGCUUACCAAGGCAACGAUGCGUAGCCGACCUGAGAGGGUGAUCGGCCAAACUGGAACUGAGACACGGUCCAGACUCCUACGGGAGGCGGCAGUAGGGAAUCUUCCGCAAUGGGCGAAAGCCUGACGGAGCAACGCCGCGUGAGUGAUGAAGGUCUUCGGAUCGUAAAACUCUGUUAUUAGGGAAGAACAAAUGUGUAAGUAACUAUGCACGUCUUGACGGUACCUAAUCAGAAAGCCACGGCUAACUACGUG
RNAcentral lists this ribosomal RNA (497 nucleotides) under uncultured bacterium. RNAcentral's name for it is "partial 16S ribosomal RNA". It matches the Rfam family "Bacterial small subunit ribosomal RNA", at positions 28 to 507 of the family's 1533-position model. The record is from RNAcentral.